GAUGAACGCUGGCGGCGUGCCUAAUACAUGCAAGUCGAGCGAACAGACGAGGAGCUUGCUCCUCUGACGUUAGCGGCGGACGUGUGAGUAACACGUGUAUAACCUACCUAUAAGACUGGGAUAACUUCGGGAAACCGGAGCUAAUACCGGAUAAUAUCUUGAACCGCAUGGUUCAAUAGUGAAAGACGGUUUUGCUGUCACUUAUAGAUGGAUCCGCGCCGCAUUAGCUAGUUGGUACGGUAACGGCUUACCAAGGCAACGAUGCGUAGCCGACGUGGGAGGGUGAUCGGCCACACUGGAACUGAGACACGGUCCAGACUCCUACGGGAGGCAGCAGUAGCGAAUGUUCCGCAAUGGGCGAAAGCCUGACGGAGCAACGCCGCGUGAGUGAUGAAGGUCUUCGGAUCGUAAAACUCCGUUAUUGGGGAAGAACCAAUGUGUAAGUAACUAUGCCCGUCUUGACGGUACCUAAUCAGAAAGCCACGGCUAACUACGUG
This 497-nucleotide ribosomal RNA is filed under the name uncultured bacterium. RNAcentral's name for it is "partial 16S ribosomal RNA". It matches the Rfam family "Bacterial small subunit ribosomal RNA", at positions 28 to 507 of the family's 1533-position model. The record is from RNAcentral.